This 468-nucleotide ribosomal RNA is filed under the name uncultured bacterium. RNAcentral's name for it is "partial 16S ribosomal RNA". It matches the Rfam family "Bacterial small subunit ribosomal RNA", at positions 28 to 507 of the family's 1533-position model. The record is from RNAcentral.
GACGAACGCUGGCGGCGUGCUUAACACAUGCAAGUCGAACGGAAAGGCCCUGCUUUUGUGGGGUGCGCGAGUGGCGAACGGGUGAGUAACACGUGAGUAACCUGCCCUUGACUUUGGGAUAACGUCAGGACACUGUGGCUAAUACCGGAUAGGAGCUCCUGCUGCAUGGUGGGGGUUGGAAAGUUUCGGCGGUUGGGGAUGGACUCGCGGCUUAUCAGCUGGUUGGUGGGGUAGUGGCUUACCAAGGCUUUGACGGGUAGCCGGCCGGAGAGGGUGACCGGCCACAUUGGGACUGAGAGACGGCCGAGACUCCUACGGGAGGAAGCAGUGGGGAAUAUUGCACAACGGGCGGAAGCCGGAUGAAGCAACGCCGCGUGCGGGAUGACGGCCUUCGGGUUGUAAACCGCUUUCGCCUGUGACGAAGCGGGAGUGACGGUAAUGGGUAAAGAAGCACCGGCUAACUACGUG